GUGUCAGCAGCCGCGGUAAUACGAGUGCCCCGAGCGUUAUCCGGAAUCAUUGGGCGUAAAGGGUGUGUAGGUGGUCAUAUUAGUCUUCUGUUAAAUUCUUCGGCUUAACCGGGGGCAUGCAGGGGAAACGGUAUGACUAGAGGAUGCGAGAGGUGUGUGGAACUCUAAGUGUAGGGGUGAAAUCCGUUGAUAUUUAGGGGAACACCAAAAGCGAAGGCAGCACACUGGCGCAUUCCUGACACUGAGACACUAAAGCGUGGGUAGCGAAUGGGAUUAGAUACCCGCGUAGUCC
RNAcentral lists this ribosomal RNA (292 nucleotides) under uncultured bacterium. RNAcentral describes it as "partial 16S ribosomal RNA". It matches the Rfam family "Bacterial small subunit ribosomal RNA", at positions 505 to 796 of the family's 1533-position model. The record is from RNAcentral.